Molecule: long non-coding RNA, 2271 nt
Organism: Brassica napus (rape)
Lineage: Eukaryota; Viridiplantae; Streptophyta; Magnoliopsida; Brassicales; Brassicaceae
Exons: 2
Source: RefSeq, a predicted model, not a curated record
GUUCUAAAAAAAAAAAACACAUUUACACUACUCUAUAUUCUAAAGUUCGUAAAACACCUUCAUUCUAUUUCUACCUUUUAAGAUGAGCAAACAGCUUCAAGUCACAUUCAUCGUUUUAACUAUCUUCAUCGUUUUCGUGUUAGAAGUGGUGGGAGAUAGAGAUAGUGAUAGUCAGUUUGGCUGUGAGGAGAGACUGAAUAUGACUACUGAGGACACUUGUUCGCGAUUAGAGUGUCAAUUUCAGUGUAUUUUGAAAAGAAAGGGGUGGGCCACGUGCUUUAAGGAUGCGGACGACCUUUACAAGGGGACCCCCGUUUACAAGUGUCUUUGUGCUUAUUUUUGUCCUAAAUAAUUUCAACAACAUUUAAGUCUUAUCUACGAGCUUUAUAAUAGAUAGAGUAACAAUCAUGUUGACCCAAUAUAUUAUAUAUAUAUAUCUUACAAUAUUAAAAAAAAGGUGAUAUGUUCAAUGGAAAAGCAUGCCAAAUAAAAUUUUAAAAUUAACCAAUAAAAAAUACUCUUUCAUGCUAGGUCAAUUCUUCUUAAACUUAAAAUUGCUUGCAACUUGAAAAUGAAAUAAAAAUGAGAUUCUAUGGUUGGGCUCAGUUGCUAAGUCCACUAAGAAGAUUCUAUUGGCUCAUAUAGGUCCAUGUCACGGUUUAUUCAGAAACCCCUAACAUCCGAUAAUCUUUGACCGAAUCUUUCCAUUUUCUUCGUCUUCUCUGUUUUCCUUACUUGUGAUAUCCGUUACUGAGUCUUCUCCAUUUUUGAAUGUUAAGCUUAUAUAUAUUUCUUUUCCCAGUUUUCUGAUUUUGAUUUUGUUAUAUAUGCAGAUGAACUCUUGAUUUUGGUGGUCCUAUACCAUUUGGAAACGAAGCUUGAGAGCUUCUCAACAAUGGAUGUCAUGUACAGAAACUGAAAUAUCUCUCUAGGUAAAAUUAUCAAAGCCUAUUCUAUCUACUUUUAAUCACUUUGAAUUCGCAUAUGUAAUGUGAUCUGUUGUUUCAUAGGUGUGAAGCUUUAUCUACGUAUCCAAGAACUUAUGAUCUUUUUCACGUUGAUGGUCUGUUUACAAGCCAAAGGUAAUCUCAAAACUUUUAAUAGACUAUAGCCGUGUUCGUUUCAUCAUCGCGGCGUUAAGUCGCAGCGGCAAAUAAAUACACUUCGACGGAGAAAAAAAAAACAGAACCGAAUGUUAAAAUAGACGCUGAUGAUUAUCGGAGAUACAAAAAACGGAACGCCGCUGCCGCAGUUAAUUUCAGCGUUCGUUUUACUCAUUAUUAAUGGCCGCUGCGACUGAAAACAGAGUUAGAGAUGUGUUCACCGGCGUCGUGGGUUAUCGUGAUUAAAGACUUAAGUUUUGAUCGCAGCCGCUAGAUGUAGCGAUCAUGAAACGAACAGGACUUAUGAAACUCAUCGAUGUUUUGAUAAUUGCUUAAGUAGUGAUCUGGUAUUACGCAGGUGUGAGAUGAAAUAUGUAAUGCUGGAAAUGGAUAGGAUCUUGCAUCCUAAUGGCUAUUAGAUUAUAUGUGAAUCAAGCUGUUUAAUGGAUACUAUUACAUCGGUUGCAAAAUGAUUGAGAUGGAGCUCCAUAAGGAAAAAACAGAGUCUAACUCAGAGAAUGAGAAGCUCUUCAUUUGCCAGAAAAAGUUGUGGUAUUUAUCUAGCGCAACGUCUGAAACAAAGUAGUAAAAAACGUACUUUGUGAUUACGAUAACCUUUUGUUAUGAAACCUCUUUACUUUUUAUGUAUUACUACGAUACCAUGCGAAGGCUGAAGCUAUCAUUUUGGCUUUUAUAGAUUUUAAUAUUUUAUAAUAGUAGAUUUGAUCUCUAUCACGUGUUAAAUACUCAUUGGGUAUGUUUUUUUUUUUGAACAACACUCAUUGGGUAUGUUAGAGCAUGUACAACGGUAAAAAAUGUGCAAUCCUUAGUCAAAAUCUUUAAUGCUUUUUGAUUAAAGAAAUAUUAAAAGAGGAAGACAAAGUUAAGGAUGAUCCUUAAUUAAGGAUUAAAACACCAUAGUCCUUAGUGACGUGGCAGAGCUUGUGAUGAAAUCGAUUGUGAUCUACCAUCUAUCUAUCUAGAUAACGAAGAAUCUGAAGAAACUAGAAACCGUCAGAUCGGAGAAUCUGGAGUGUGGUGGUGACUUACCGGAGAUACCAGCGGUGCAGUAGACGAGAGCGAAGAUCAUACCACCGAAAGCCCAAGCGAUGCCUUGGAUUCCGACGGACGCACACAUGCUCGGUGACCUCUUCACACCCAUGACGGU